AGAGUUUGAUCCUGGCUCAGGACGAACGCUGGCGGCGCGCCUAACACAUGCAAGUCGAACGGGGUUGAGAGGAGCUUGCUUUUCUUGACUUAGUGGCGAACGGGUGAGUAACGCGUGAGGAACCUGCCUCAAAGAGGGGGACAACAGUUGGAAACGACUGCUAAUACCGCAUAAGCCCACGGUUCUGCAUGGAACUGAGGGAAAAGGAGCAAUCCGCUUUGAGAUGGCCUCGCGUCCGAUUAGCUAGUUGGUGAGGUAACGGCCCACCAAGGCGACGAUCGGUAGCCGG
RNAcentral lists this ribosomal RNA (289 nucleotides) under uncultured bacterium. RNAcentral's name for it is "partial 16S ribosomal RNA". It matches the Rfam family "Bacterial small subunit ribosomal RNA", at positions 8 to 290 of the family's 1533-position model. The record is from RNAcentral.